This 1202-nucleotide ribosomal RNA is filed under the name Blaps rhynchoptera. RNAcentral's name for it is "16S ribosomal RNA". The stretch from base 962 to 1121 matches the Rfam family "Archaeal large subunit ribosomal RNA", at positions 2542 to 2701 of the family's 2987-position model. Lineage: Eukaryota; Metazoa; Arthropoda; Insecta; Coleoptera; Tenebrionidae. The record is from RNAcentral.
CUUGAAUCAAUUUAUUUAAUUAUAGCUUAUUUUACUGUGAAGGAUAAUUUUUAUUAAUUUUAAAGAAAAUUUGGUUUAUUGUACCUUUUGUAUCAGGGUUGAUUAAUUUAUUGCUAUUAAUAUAGUUUUCCCGAAAUUAAAAGAGCUAUAGAUAAAUAUAUUUUACUGUUUAAUAAGUAUUUAAAAUUUUUUUAUAGUAGUGAAACGUUAUUCGUUUUUAAUUAUAUCUGGUUUUUUAAUAGAUAAAUUUAAUUUAUCCUUUAUUUUCAAUAGAUAUUAUUUUUUAUAUUUAUUUAAUUAAGGUUUAAAACUCAGGGGGAUAAGCUUCUGAUUUUAUUAAAAGGUUUUGUUAAUAAGUAGUUUAUAGGAUUAGAAUUUUCUAUUUAUGAGAGGGUGUUAUAAUUAACUACUUUCUUAGUAUUAUUUUUAUUUUUCUUUAAUUUAUUAUUAAAAUUUUAAUUUUAAUUUGUUUUAUUAUGUAAUAAUGAUUGAAUUAGUAUAGUUUUUUGUAUUAAUAUGUUUAUUAUGCAGGUUAGUCUAAGGAAUUCGGCAAUUUAAAUUUUCACCUGUUUAAUAAAAACAUGUCUUUUUGUUUAUGAUUUAAGGUCUGACCUGCCCAAUGAUUUUUAAAUGGCUGCAGUAUUUUGACUGUACAAAGGUAGCAUAAUCAUUAGUUUCUUAAUUAGAAGCUGGAAUGAAUGGUUUGAUGAGAAAUUUACUGUCUCAGACUAAUUUUUUUAGAAUUUUAUUUUUAAGUGAAAAAGCUUAAAUUUUUUAGAAAGACGAGAAGACCCUAUAGAGUUUUAUAUAUUUAUAGUUAUUAAUUUAAUGUUUUAAAUUUUUUUAAUUUUUUAAUGUAUUUUGUUGGGGUGAUGCGAAAAUUUUUUUAACUUUUCUUAAUUUUUACACUAAUUAGUGAUUUAAUGAUCCUUUUUGGACUACAAGAUUAAAUUACCUUAGGGAUAACAGCGUAAUUUUUUUUGAAAGCUCUUAUUGAUAAAAAAGUUUGCGACCUCGAUGUUGGAUUAAAGUUAAUUUUUGGUGUAGAAGCUAGGAAUAUUAGGUCUGUUCGACCUUUAAAACUUUACAUGAUCUGAGUUUAGACCGGCGUGAGCCAGGUUGGUUUCUAUCUUUUAAAUUUUGAAAUGUUUUAGUACGAAAGGACCAGAUGUUUAAAUUAUAUUUUUAUUUUGAAUAAAGUU